GGGCCGGUAGUUCAGCGGCACGAACGCCUGCCUCACGUGCAGGAAGUCAUGGGUUCAAACCCCAUCCGGCCCACCA
This 76-nucleotide transfer RNA is filed under the name Candidatus Bathyarchaeota archaeon. RNAcentral's name for it is "tRNA-Val". It matches the Rfam family "tRNA". Rfam says of the family: Transfer RNA (tRNA) molecules are approximately 80 nucleotides in length. Their secondary structure includes four short double-helical elements and three loops (D, anti-codon, and T loops). Further hydrogen bonds mediate the characteristic L-shaped molecular structure. tRNAs have two regions of fundamental functional importance: the anti-codon, which is responsible for specific mRNA codon recognition, and the 3' end, to which the tRNAs corresponding amino acid is attached (by aminoacyl-tRNA synthetases). tRNAs cope with the degeneracy of the genetic code in two manners: having more than one tRNA (with a specific anti-codon) for a particular amino acid; and 'wobble' base-pairing, i.e. permitting non-standard base-pairing at the 3rd anti-codon position. The record is from RNAcentral. Lineage: Archaea; Thermoproteati; Candidatus Bathyarchaeota.